CUCAAAUUGUGUGAACUAUACCGUGGAAACAGAGAAAUAACAGAAACUCCCUUAAGUAGUUUAAGUAAACUUUAAGUAGAAGGUCUGGGAAACCCUACCCUUCGCUGAGCUCCGAAAAUCCCAAAGUUGCCUGGCUUCUGGUCGCCGACCAUAUUUUUGCCCGCCCACUCCCUUAUUAGGUAAUCGAGGUAGCUGUGAAACAAAGACCUAUCCCAUUCAGUGCUGCGGGCCUGCGCUCUGGGAAAUUUCUGCGUUUCUGCGGGGGCGUGCGUCUUCGGCGCUUUCCUGAGUUGACCGCGUCGCUUUGACCCCUCCUCUUUGAGCGGAAAGGCGGGAGGCGGGAGGACUCGGGGUCGCUGUCUGUGGUCGCACCUGUCCCGAGCUUCUGCCCAAGCAGCCCUCUCUCAUUCUUCCUCCAAGGGUCCCUGCUGGAGGAAAUCCGGCCCCAAGUUGUCUCAGGUCUUUGAAGUGUUGAGCAUUGGACGUAGUUUGAGAACCAAGUUCUGCGAAUUAGUAUCCAUCCUCUCAACUAAUGAUGACACUUCAAUUGUGCUUAAAGAAGACCACUCCUCCCCCAUUGGAUGCAGC
This 588-nucleotide long non-coding RNA is filed under the name Mustela putorius furo (domestic ferret). RNAcentral describes it as "lncRNA (ENSMPUG00000026382.1)". The record is from RNAcentral. Lineage: Eukaryota; Metazoa; Chordata; Mammalia; Carnivora; Mustelidae.